Molecule: ribosomal RNA, 253 nt
Filed under: uncultured bacterium
Lineage: Bacteria
Description: partial 16S ribosomal RNA
Rfam family: Bacterial small subunit ribosomal RNA
Source: RNAcentral
UACGUAGGGUGCGAGCGUUAAUCGGAAUUACUGGGCGUAAAGCGUGCGCAGGCGGCUUUGUAAGACAGGUGUGAAAUCCCCGGGCUUGACCUGGGAACUGCGCUUGUGACUGCAAGGCUUGAGUGUGGCAGAGGGGGGUGGAAUUCCACGUGUAGCAGUGAAAUGCGUAGAGAUGUGGAGGAACACCGAUGGCGAAGGCAGCCCCCUGGGUCAACACUGACGCUCAUGCACGGAAGCGUGGGUAGCAAACAGG